CGGUGAUCUGAUAAGGCCUGUGAAAUCUCACGGUCUAAAGCCCAUAAUCAAUUAGUUCGGGAAUUAACCAGGCAAGACGACGACCCACGGUCGCUCUUUCCGAUCUCCGCCUCUUUUGUCUCUACGCCCUCACUGGUGGAUGGAAAGCGCCACCGCGCACCCCUGCAAGCGGCGGUCAGUGUCCUCUUCGACCUACAUUCUCUCCUUCUCUCUCUCUUCAAUCUCCGUACUCUUCUUACUCUCUAUCAACUCCUUCCUUCACUGCGCUGAUCAAACGCAUACUGGAUUCUCUCUCUCAGAAACUUCAUAGGUUUUCACCCGGUUUAAAGAUUAGGAACCCCUAGCUGCCUUGGCUCGGAUUGAAAAAGGAUUUUGAGAGCAAAGGUAGCAGGAUCCCGAAGUGAUUCACGAGGAAGAAUCUGUAACAUAUACCUAAUCAGGAGUGUGAAAUCUUGGGAGGAGGAUGAAAUCAACAUGUUGAUUGAUUGGUGUUUCAAGUUUCUCCUUGAAUGGAACUUCCAAGAGUUACCUUUGGAGGAAUGAUCUUGAGCAAUUCGAACACAUG
Non-coding RNA from Carica papaya (papaya), 565 nucleotides. The record is from RefSeq and is a predicted model, not a curated record. NCBI's taxonomy places the organism in Eukaryota, Viridiplantae, Streptophyta, Magnoliopsida, Brassicales, Caricaceae.